RNA transcript from Photinus pyralis (common eastern firefly), 2124 nucleotides. RefSeq lists it as uncharacterized. The record is from RefSeq and is a predicted model, not a curated record. NCBI's taxonomy places the organism in Eukaryota, Metazoa, Arthropoda, Insecta, Coleoptera, Lampyridae. The transcript has 3 exons.
CUUUGUCACGUGCGCGAAAUACUUUUCUCUGUUUCGGUGUUAGAAUACGUCAUUCUCGCACGUAUUUUAGUGUUAGUUUGAACUCUAUUCUUAAACGAUUUUUAGUGACUUUUUUUUUCGAGAGUUUGCAUAAGUUUGACAGUCGGCGUAUCGAUGACGGAAGCUGAUGUUAUGUGCCGUGAACGUCGAUCAUUUCUAAAUAACUUAAAGAUACGUAAUGUAAUUAACAAUAUCGAUAAUGUCCAUGUAAUAUACAUAUGUUACGGUAUGAACUGAUUGCAAGGGCAAAGUAAUUAUCAUAAAAUGAAGACCUCGAAAUAUACGAAUAAGUAUCUACUACUCUAAAGGAAACCAUUUUUAUUAAAAUGAACACAUUUUUGAUAUCGUAAGUUAUUAUAUUCGGAUAACUUUGGUCGAAGAUCCCACAUCGAAAGCUGCAUCCUUCACAUAAGGAGUUUUUGUCAAGAUUGAAGCGGAAUUUCCUCUACUAACUAACUGAAGCCAAAUUGCGUUACACUUCGUAUGCAGUUUGAGAUUUCGGGGGCCCAUUUUGUUUACAGUAUGAUAUCAGAAAGCCGUGCUAGCUUUAGCAACCUACGUCAAUACGAUUGAUCAAGUGACUGCUCUCAGUUGUCAGUAAUAAAUAAGUAAUGCGGAAUAAGAAUAAAACAGAAAGUAUAUGAAACUAAACAACUUGCUUAACUGUACAAAAUUAUACAUUAUGAAGAGGUGUUGUAAUUAUUGUAAAUAGUAAUUGUAACGGUUGAAUUUACUCCUGCAUUGACGGAAAUGCCGGGCAGAUUUUGCUGCGACACAUUAGUAUUUUCUGGGUUACUUAAUUCAGGCUGUAUAAAACCAGCAUUGGAACUGGAAGCUGUUGCUGGAGGAGCAGUAAAAGUAGACUGUCUAACUGAUGGAGGUCCACCACUGUUUGACAACAUUUCGGCAACUUCCAUUUUUUUGCUAAUGGAUGCCUCGAUGUAACCUUCUGCUACGGCAGAGCUCUUCCAGCCUCCAUGUUGUUUCACCGUAAUUAAAUCACCGCCACUAUUUGCCAAAUGUGACGCGGAAGACCUUCUAAAACAGUGCCCAGAAAAUAAAGCCCAUUCAGGUAGGUUGAGGUACUUUGCUAUAAUUCGUGGCAUUUCUCCCAUUUUAUUAAUGCCAAUGGGCUGUUUUGUGCAACGGCCACUUUUAUAAUAUAUAAAAAACCGUUGGUGGUUCACAUUGGAUGGUCUUAAACCAUAAUAUUUUUUUAUUAAAUGUAUCCAAUGCUCAUUUUUUAUUGCGAAUAAUCUUGGGUGAUGGGUUUUACUUUUUUUUAUUGUGACAAAAACCGAUUGACUUUUAUAUUCAAUGUCGUCAAGCUCGAUAUUAAUAAGCUCUUGACGUCUGCAGGCGCCCGAGUAACCCAUAAUUAAUAUUACCUAAAAAUAGUAUUGUAGUUUUAGUGUACAUGACAAAAUGUUAUGAACUCGCCUUUAUAACGAGAUAAUCCAUAUCCGGUGCAGCACUAAUAAAUUUUUCUAUAUCAUUAUAUUCCAGUAUCUUUGAUUUUUUGGGUACAAACCCUACCGAUAAUCGUUUCAAAAAUGCUUGAAGCUUCAUAAAUUUUGAAAUGUCAACGUUUUGUCGGAUGUUUAUCAUCAAUCGAAGCAUCGAGUAUGUCUUCCAUAAUGUAGAACUUUUGUAAGUCUUACUAAGAAUUUCGAAGUAUGCAAGCAAAACAUUUUCUGUGAGGGUUUGCACCUUGUUUUCAAUGCGCCAAGAUUCAAAUUUUUCAUACUCCUUUUGGUACUCAUUUUUAGACUUGGAUAGCACCAAAUCAUUUACCGCAUUAUCAGCUAAUUCACGCAAUUCCGGUGGUGUUGAAGUUAAUUCUUCGUCUGACAUUGUAGGCUCUUUAGUGAAAUGUAGGUAAUGGAUUUUAUUUUUCAAAUCUAAAGAUAAUUUCGCAAAAAUAUCUCGUGAAGAAAUUUGAAAGAUCGGUUACUAUGGAAACCAAGCAAAUAGUCAGUACUGCCAACACAAUUUAUAUCGAAAAUAUUUUUAAAUUUAUCCAUAAUUAAUAAACAAUGCGAAACGAGCCCGAAACAGAGAAAAUAGUAUAAAACAUUCGUUGCA